UACAGAGGUCUCAACCGUUGUUCGGAUUCAUUGGGCGUAAAGGGUGCGUAGGCGGUCGCGCAAGUCGGAUGUGAAAUCUCAGGGCUCAACCCUGAAACUGCAUUCGAUACUGAGUGGCUAGAGUGCUGGAGAGGAGACUGGAAUUUACGGUGUAGCAGUGAAAUGCGUAGAUAUCGUAAGGAAGACCAGUGGCGAAGGCGAGUCUCUGGACAGCAACUGACGCUGAGGCACGAAGGCCAGGGGAGCAAACGGG
Molecule: ribosomal RNA, 253 nt
Filed under: uncultured bacterium
Lineage: Bacteria
Description: partial 16S ribosomal RNA
Rfam family: Bacterial small subunit ribosomal RNA
Source: RNAcentral